Molecule: long non-coding RNA, 445 nt
Filed under: Gossypium barbadense (sea-island cotton)
Lineage: Eukaryota; Viridiplantae; Streptophyta; Magnoliopsida; Malvales; Malvaceae
Description: long non-coding RNA (GBAR_LNC003807)
Source: RNAcentral
UUUGGAUGGAUCACACUGUUGAUGGGGAUGUUCAAGCUCCUUCCAUCCAAUGUUGUAAGAUGAACGGUGUAGCCUGUUAAUGCUUCGGCCAGCGAUAUCUUUUGCGUGACAACCAGGUCAUUGCCAUCGCGUGUGAAUGUGCUGUGAGGUUUUUCAUCUAUUAUGAAAACAAGAUCUGCAGGGAUUGUGUUCGGUUGUUCGUUUCCUUUCUCAGGGAAGGUAAUCUUUGUUCCCUUUUUCCAACCAGGUUUGAUAUCAAUGGUCAGGAUUUCCUGCACUGGCAAUGUCUUCCUGCAACACAGACAAAUUUUUAAGACAACCUUGUUAGCAAGGGAACCAUCAGCAGCCAUGAAAAUAGUUGGCAUUAUCAGGCAUGUUACGAUCUUAUCUCGGAUAGGUAUGUUAUUUAGAAACAUGUACGAAAUAUGAUCAAGACAAACUCUUC